CCAAAUUCAUGCUCAUUUUCGAAAAUUACUACUAUUUUCUUUUUAUCAUCAAUAAUAAAUUCUUAGCAAAAUUUAUACAAAAUUCUUUACAUAAUUUAAUUAAAACUCUUAAACUAAUAUCAUUCAAAAAUUUCUACUGAAGUUACAAUUCAAUCAAAAACCCAAUUUCGUCCCCCGUACGCACUUCAAGCAAAAACUUCAAAGCAUAGAUCAUCUCUUCUUUGGUACCUAAAAUGUUAGUGUAAGGGUCAAUUUCCUUAUCCAAAUUGGUUCAUACUCAAAGCACAAGAACAAUGCCACAUAAUAGAUAGUAUCAAAACUUCUCAAUAAAAAAGAAAUAAGAAAAAUACAUUUAAGGCAGAUGUAUAACAGACCCAAUGCAAUGAUGUGCAAAAUGCAUGCUCUUAAAUACUACAUGAUCCGGAUAUAUCCCGCCACACAGGCACCACACAGAAAUAUAAUUGCAAUUCCUGCCACUAAGGCAUCCACAGAGAAUAUAAUUGUAAUUCCCGCCACUAAGGCACCACACAGAUGCAUAUGCCAUGCAUGAUCAUGAAAAUGCAGACUAAAACCCGCCACUAAGGCACAAUAAUGCAAUAUGAUGUUAUCCCGCCACUAAGGCACCACAAAGAAAUAUAUUAUUAACCAGCCACUAAGGCAAACUCAUAGACAAAUACAGUCAGAUAUUAACACAUCAUCAUCCACAUGGACCAAACUGAAAUAUUUUCGUAAAACUCGUAUUUUCAUUUAUUUAGUUUAUCAGCAAAGUCUAACACUUCUUUACAAUACCACAAAAACAUAUAUGAAUAGAAAAAUAAAAUAAAUGUCAUUCCACAUAACAUUAUCAUAGUACUUAGUAAGAAUGUAUGGGGAAAAGGCCCUUACCUCGUAAGCUUUCAUUCCUAGCCAAACACUAAACUACCUCAAACUCACAGCUACUGUUCAAACACGUUUUCUGUCACUCCAGGAAUUAUUUUGACGAUCGGACGAUGAACGAAGGCGUAGUCGCAGUUCUCCAAGGACAGGUUUAGUGAAAACGGAAAUGGCUUAGAAUUAGAAUUUCAUAGUGAGACAAGAAAUAAAAUGGAAGAACAUAUAUGCAAAAGGACUUGCACAAAAAUUAUUUAACAAGAUGAUAGCAUAGAGAUUGGUCGAUGGACUUGGGAAACAUGAGAAUGGACUAUAAGAAAAUGCUAUGACUUAUCUCUUUUCAAUCUUCCUGAUACAACAAUUAUGGACCCACGGCAGACAUUUGACUUAGUGAAGUAAACAAACUUUGUACGCUGGUUUUGCUUUGUGACUGAUAGAAGAUGAAGGAGAAUAAUUCAUUGUCUCAAAGAGAGGUAAGAGUGAUUAAAGUGAAAACUUGGAGGUUUGGUUCUGCUACUUCUCUUUCUUUGUAACUAGUGAUACAUGCAUAUGAUAUAUUAAUGCCGAUAUACUAAGGAGAAAUUAAGUGAGAAUAUAGUUAAGUUUGAGUCAUACAAUAAGUGUAUGGAUGGCGGUUACCACUUUAGAGGAAUUGGGAGAAAUAGCAGUGAAGUAAAUUCAUGCAGAGCAAAACUGAUGCAAAUGAAAUUUGAGAUGAAUGGCUCGUGUAAUUGAAUGAGUGAGAAAAACCAACUGAGGGUGAGGGAAUUGAAAUAUGUAGAGUAGCUAAUAUGUGCCUAGUUUUUAGGAACCAAAUAACCAAUUUCAUUGACCUAGCAAUUCACGGAACCAUAGUGGCAUAAGGGGAGAGAAAAAUAUGGUGGUAGUGGCAUCAAUUAGGCAAGGAUAAAAAAAAAACGUAUAGUAUAU
This 1800-nucleotide long non-coding RNA is filed under the name Medicago truncatula (barrel medic). RNAcentral describes it as "long non-coding RNA (MTRU_LNC003985)". Lineage: Eukaryota; Viridiplantae; Streptophyta; Magnoliopsida; Fabales; Fabaceae. The record is from RNAcentral.